Cervus elaphus (red deer) is the source of this 622-nucleotide long non-coding RNA. RefSeq lists it as uncharacterized. The record is from RefSeq and is a predicted model, not a curated record. NCBI's taxonomy places the organism in Eukaryota, Metazoa, Chordata, Mammalia, Artiodactyla, Cervidae. The transcript has 2 exons.
GUUCUGGCUUCGGAGAGCAGGCUCCAUGUGCCCCCACGCCCACCCCCAACCCCAGUCAUGGUCGUCUUGGGCCCUGAGACCUGCCCCCACCCCUGUGUGACCCAAAGCUGUCCGAAGCAGCCUCCCUUGAGAGCCCAGGGCUUCCAGACACCCCGGGGUGAGCUGCGUUGCAUUUCCAGACCCUGGAGGAACGAUGUGGGUGUUUGGUGAUAUUGCAGUGGCCGUGGACUCAGCCACACCGGGCUGAAGCCAGACCAUCGCUCACACAAGGGAGCCCCUCCGCUGAAUCUGGGACCUGCUGCCGGCCCAUCUCCAGCCUCCACGGUCACGUACAGCAUAGGGGAUCUUGGUUCCUCAGCCAGGGAUCGAACCCUCAUUCCCUACAUUCUUAACCACUGGGCCACCAGGGAAGUCCCUCUGCUAUUUCUUAGAAGCAGCAGAUGGAUUCCCCUCCCCAGUAAAGGAAUAAUUGUACAUUUGGUGUCUGAGUGUUUAUUGUAAUCAACCAAGAUUACCAAGAGGAAUGCAACCAGUUUUACCUUUACCCAAAGGAGGUUUAUGUCAAGUAACAAAUUUUUACUAAAAGUUUAACUGCUUUAAGUAUAACUCUCAACAUAUAGUU